RNAcentral lists this ribosomal RNA (253 nucleotides) under uncultured bacterium. RNAcentral describes it as "partial 16S ribosomal RNA". It matches the Rfam family "Bacterial small subunit ribosomal RNA", at positions 524 to 776 of the family's 1533-position model. The record is from RNAcentral.
UACGGAGGGGGCUAGCGUUGUUCGGAAUUACUGGGCGUAAAGCGCACGUAGGCGGAUUGUUAAGUCGGGGGUGAAAUCCCGGGGCUCAACCCCGGAAUGGCCUACGAUACUGGCAAUCUUGGGGUCGGGAGAGGUGAGUGGAAUGGCGAGUGUAGAGGUGAAAUUCGUAGAUAUUCGCCGGAACACCAGUGGCGAAGGCGGCUCACUGGCCCGAGACUGACGCUGAGGUGCGACAGCGUGGGGAGCAAACAGG